This 252-nucleotide ribosomal RNA is filed under the name uncultured bacterium. RNAcentral's name for it is "partial 16S ribosomal RNA". It matches the Rfam family "Bacterial small subunit ribosomal RNA", at positions 524 to 776 of the family's 1533-position model. The record is from RNAcentral.
UACGUAGGUGGCAAGCGUUGUCCGGAUUACUGGGUGUAAAGGGCGUGUAGCCGGGCUGACAAGUCAGAUGUGAAAUCCGGGGGCUCAACCCCCGAACUGCAUUUGAAACUGUUGGUCUUGAGUAUCGGAGAGGCAGGCGGAAUUCCUAGUGUAGCGGUGAAAUGCGUAGAUAUUAGGAGGAACACCAGUGGCGAAGGCGGCCUGCUGGACGACAACUGACGGUGAGGCGCGAAAGCGUGGGGAGCAAACAGG